UUAACUAAACAUACAAAAGAAAAAUCAGAAGAGUUUUGAGAGAGAGAGACCGAAAGAGUCUGAACCCUAAAAUAUCGAUUCCAGCCACUGCCAUUCAUCUCCUCGCCGUCGUUGCCGCCAUGUCUCCUCCAUCAAAGCUUCGCCGGUGGAGUUAUGAGGACGAGGUGAUCAUGGAGCUUCUCAAUUUGUGGAGCUCUCGCCUCUCGCGAUAAUAAUGCUUUAGAUCUUUCGCUUCUACGUCGUCUUUCACGGCGGGUGCUACCGCUGAUUCUGCUUAUGCUCCAGCGGCUUGAAGCACUCAGAGAGCGGUUUGGGCACGGAGUCGGUGACGCUGGUUGAGUAGAUCCGUAAGGCGAGCGAGCGAAAGACUUUGGAAGCUUCGAUUGAAACUGCGAUAGUGCGAUCGAAGCUAUCAAAUCUUGUGGAACUAAUUCUCAUGUCGUUCUGAGUCAUUGAGGUUGGAGGAGUUUGCUUGCUGUUGGUCCAACUCUUCUCAAGGACUAAUCUCUGUUGAAGCUUUAUCGCUUGAUCAACUUGUAGGUUAUGCUUGCUACUGUCCGAUGUGAAGAAAUUGCCCGGGAGAAGUAUAAAGCUGCAAAGGAGGAAUUGCAUCAACUGGAAGAGGAUAUGAAACGUAGCCCUACUGAAUAUUUGAACAGGCUCAGUUCACAAAUUGAUACUUGUUUGUCAGAGUGAGUAUAAUUGACUUUUCAUGACAUCAUAACAUUGAAUUCUUUGUUCAUAUUAGACUGCUAGUAGUAGCAAUGGUUUUGAUUGUUCUAUGUAUUGGAA
This is a non-coding RNA of Arachis ipaensis, 792 nucleotides long. The record is from RefSeq and is a predicted model, not a curated record. Lineage: Eukaryota; Viridiplantae; Streptophyta; Magnoliopsida; Fabales; Fabaceae.